AUAGGUGUCCAUAGGACUUAAUAGGGAAUCCGGUGCAGCAUAGUCUAAGCCGGAGCGGUCCCGCCACUGUAGGGUGGAGUCUUGCACAAUCAUGUCACUGGGGUAGAUAUGCGUACCUUGGGAAGGCGUGCAAUGCGGUGCCAUCGGCGCUUCAGCGCCGCGAAUGGCACCCAUGCGAGAGCGUCCCGUGACAGCGAGCACGAAGUGCGAAGCUGGAACGGCUGACGCUUACCGCAGACGAUGAAACCGAGCCAGGAGAACUGCCUGUUCC
RNAcentral lists this non-coding RNA (271 nucleotides) under bovine gut metagenome. The record is from RNAcentral.